This 18412-nucleotide long non-coding RNA is filed under the name Nicotiana benthamiana. Its description in RNAcentral is "long non-coding RNA (NBEN_LNC030671)". The record is from RNAcentral. Lineage: Eukaryota; Viridiplantae; Streptophyta; Magnoliopsida; Solanales; Solanaceae.
AAAUACUGCAUAAUUGAGCAUCGAUCUUCUCCCAAUGUGCUUUGGCUUUUUCAUCUCCUUCACUAGACUCCUUGAUUAGAUGAUCUUGAACACCUUAACCUUUACACCAGAACUCGACAGACGAAGCCCAAGCUAAGUAGUUGGAACCUCCCAUCAAACGUUUUGAGGUAAUCAUAACACCAGAAUUGCCAGAAGCCGAGUUUUUAGGCUCGAAAGCAUCGACUCCCAAAGACAUCGUGAAAACUUGCUGAAACAGAUGAAGGAAAUACUAUUUUUGCCGGAAAAUUACUGUAGUUGCCGGAAAAAAUCACUGUAGAUGCCGAAAAAAAUUCAAAGUGGUCAGAAUUGAAAAAUAAAAAUAUGGGUAGGCUCGGAAUUUGAGGGCGAUCUAACUGCCCUGAAGGACCUUCGUCAGAAUCUCACCGGAACAGUUCUCACGCGCCGGCGCGUGGAGCGCGUGAGUCGGAUCUGCCUGGGUAAAUCUGGCGCGUGAGGGCGCGUGAAGGGCAGUUUUCCGGUGGGAUUUGCUAGGGUUUGGUCGGAUCUCUCUUGGGAACCUUGUGGCGGUGUUGGUUUUUUUUGCACAACACUGAUAAUUAGUGACUUUGACGCAAUUAGUCACUUCGGUCACCGGAAAAUUGUACGGUGACUGAGUUAUUUCUUCCCGGGUGUCGUUGGAAUGACGCACAAUGAUAAUUAUCUCACCAAAGCUCUGAUACCAUGAUAAGAAUGGACCUUGGGCCUAACUCAACCCNNNNNNNNNNNNNNNNNNNNNNNNNNNNNNNNNNNNNNNNNNNNNNNNNNNNNNNNNNNNNNNNNNNNNNNNNNNNNNNNNNNNNNNNGCCUAACUCAACCCCAAAAGCUAGCUUAUGAGGUGAGGAUUGCCCAAGCCAUAUAAGGAGACCAAGGACCUCAAAUCCCUCCAAUGUGGGACAACUCACCAGAUAGAAAAAAGAGGAAGUAUGGUGGGAGCUACCAGGUGCAAGAGGUCUCUUUAAUGGACCUUGGGUGGUUUGUGGGGACUUCAAUACUGUAAGGUACCCAUCCAUCUGAGAAGAAAAAUUGUUCCAGAUUCACAAGAGCUAUGACUGACUUUUCAAACUUCAUUGAAGACAUGGAACUGGUAGACAUUCAAUUAUCAGGAGGAGAAUACACAUGGAGAAAAGGGGACAGACAUAUAAUAGCAGCCAUAUUUGAUAGAUUCUUGAUUUUGGCUGACUGGAAUGAAGAUUUUAGAAACAUAAAGCAAUCAGUGCUGCAGAGAGUUACCUCAGAUCAUUUUCCAUUGAUGCUGCAAUGUGGUUGCUGGGAUCCAGUUAAAUCAUACUUUAAAUUUGAGAACUGGUGGCUGCACACUGAAGGAUUCAAAGAUAGAAUUGAAGAAUGGUGGAAUUCUUUCAUCUGUGAAGGAAGGCCAGAUGUCAUUUUAACUUUGAAGCUUAAAUACUUGAAGACAAAGUUAUAGGAAUGGAGAAAAACUCUAGAAGGCAAUUUAGCAUUACAGAAAGCAAGUAUCCUCAACCAACUUGCAGUGCUGGAGGAGUUACAUGACCGGAGAAGCUUGAUAGAAGAGGAAAUAUUUACAAAAACCACAUUGACCAUGGAGUUUGAGGAGAUUGUAAAUCAUGAAGAAGUAGCAUGGAGACAGAGAUCCAGGGUCCUUUGGUUAAAAGAGGGAGACGGGACCACCAAGUUCUUCCACAAAACAACCAAUGCUCACAGGAGAUUUAAUAAUAUAGCUCAGUUGAUGAGGUGGAGUGGAGGCCAAUAGGUUGCAUCAGAAACAACCAGAGAAUCACAACAAAUGAUAACUCAAUGCUGGAGAGUCCAUUUGGAGAGCAGGAAAUAUGGGACAGUGUUAAGGCAUGUGCAGGUGACAAAGCACUGGGUCCAGAUAGUUUCACAAUGGCCUUUUUUACUACCUGCUGGGAAGUGGUUAAAAAGGAUGUGGUAGCUGAUGUUCAGAAUUUUUAUGAACAAGGAAUCUUUGAAAAGAGCAUUAAUGCCACUUUUGUCGCUCUGAUUCCUAAGAAGCUGGGGGGCCAAAGAAUUGAGAGAUAUCAGGCCUAUCAGUCUGAUUGGUAGUAUAUAAAUUAUCUCCAAGUUACUGACUGAGAAGCUAAAAAAGGUAGUCAAUAAAUUGGUGGAUUCUCAACAAAUGGCUUUCAUAAGAGGAAGACAGAUCAUGGAAGCUGUCCUUAUAGCUAAUGAAUGCAUUGACGCAAGGAAAACAAGCAGGAAAAUGAGCAUUGGUGGAAGACGGAUUAACUGGAUAAAAUAUUGCAUCUCAACUCUUAGCUUCUCUGUACUCAUCAAUGGAGACCCAACUGGUUUGACAAGGGGAUCCCCUUUCCCCUUUCUUAUUCAUUAUUGCUACGGAAUGUUUGAACGAUAUGCUAAAAAGAGCACAGGCAAACAAUUGUAUAGAGGCUUCAAGGUGAAUUGCAGGGCUGAUUGCAACAUGAGGAUUUCACAUUUGCAGUACGCUGAUGACACUUUGGUGUUCUGUGAAUCUGAUAGAGAACAACUGAAAGUGCUAAGGGUGAUAUUCAUUCUUUUUGAAGCCACUUCUGGACUACGUAUAAAUUGGUACAAAAGCUUUAUUUAUCAAGUAAAUGAGGUGAUGGAAUUACAAAGUCUUGCUGAUAUUCUAGGUGGGAAUGUAGGUGAAAUGCCUACUAUAUAUCUAGGGAUGCCAUUGGGAGGCAAGAGUAAGUCAAAAGUAAUUUGGAAUGGAAUGUUGGAGAAGUGUGAAAAGAUGCCUUGCCUACUUAUAUGAUGUCUCUUUUUCCAAUCCCAGUCAAUGUGGUGAAGAGAAUUGAUGCCUUAAGAAGGAAUUUUGCUAUAGGAAGGCAACAAUGAGAAGAAUAAGUUACACAUGGUUAAUUGGAGCUCUGUGACUACUAGCAAAAAGGCAGGGGGGACUGGGAAUAAAAAACAUAAAAAUUCAGAACCAGAUUUUGAUGAUGAAGUGGCUAUGGAAGUUUGCAGCAACUGAACAAUCACUAUGGAAUGAGGUUGUUACGGAGAAAUACAGAGCGGAAGGAAAAUGGACAAUCAAAUUAAUGAGAACUCCAUAUGGUGUCAGUCUGUGAAGUCAAUUAGGAAUCUGUCGCCAAAACUGAUUAACAAAUCCAAUUUAGGAAAUGGUAGGAUGAUUACUCUGUGGGGUGACAAUUGGCUAGGACAAGGACCAUUGAAGGAUCUCUUUUCUGACAUAUAUUCCUUGAAUCAACAACAACAAGUAACACUACACGAGACAUAGACUAAUCAGUGAUGGAAUCUUACAUUCAGAAGAUUGAUAAAUGAUUGGGAGAUAGAAAGAGUAACUAACUUUUACAAUACUUUGGAGCGAUUCAGUGGUACCAACUCUAAUCAAGAUCUUAUCGUACGGCAAAGGAAUAGGCAUGGGAGAUUUUCUGUUGGGUCUGCUUACAAGGAAUUCAACGUGUCUAACAACCAGAAUGGUUGUUUUUUUUUGGGCAAUCCGCUAGGUAAGCGCCUAGGGCUAGAUUUCAUUAAUAAUAAAAAGAAAAAUACAACAAUUAGGAAAAGUAGAAAUAAGGGGGACAAAAGAUCCGGUGUUGUUGCCUAUAUGCCUUGGCUAUAUAAUCACUCAUCUGCUCCUCACAUUGCCUUGAUUGCAGCCUCAUGUAGAGGAUUCAUGGUGUUAGCUGCCGGUAAAGUCUCACGAGGGUAUAUAAUCUCAUAGCCGUGUGGAUAUUUUUCCAAAGGGUAGGACCAAGAUAACACAACAACAACAACAACAACAACCCAGUAUAAUCCCACUUAGUGGGAUCUGGGGAGGGUAGUNNNNNNUAUUUCCCCCGUAUGGAGCACUGAGUUACUUACGUUACGGUCUGGGGAUGGUAAUGUGUACGUAGACCUUACCCCCACCCUAGAGUAGAGAGGCUGUUUCCAAAUAGACCCCCGGCAUCCUUCCUUCCAAGAACUUCCCGCCUUUCUCUUGGGGAGACUCGAACUUACAACCUCUCGGUUGGAAGUGGGGAUUGCUUACCAUCAGAGCAACCACAAUAUAUUAUUAGUCAUAGAUUAGCUUGAAGAGAGAUUCUUUUAUUGUUGUAGUUUAAAAAAAUGAUAAUAUCUCAAUAUUAAAUUUCUAGCUUCUGCGGUUAACUGUCUUUUUUGACCAAGAUAACACAAACCGGGCUAAAUCUUACCUUACUAAUCCUAUUGGCCAGAUUGGUUGUUAGCCAUGUAAGAUAUGGAAAGUAAAAAUACCAUACGAGGUUGCUUGCUUUACAUGGAUACCGGCAAAAGAAGCAGUACUAACACAUGACAACUUAAUCAAAAGAGGAUUCUAUCAGUGUUCUACAUGUUACUUAUGUGGAGAGGAGGCAGAGACAACUAGCCGUCUUUUUUGCACUGCAAACUCACUGUACAACUAUGGAGAAUCUUCAUCGGCGUAAGGGAAAUUUCAUGGGCAAUGCCGGAAGUAAUUAUUGAUGUUCUAACUUGCUGGAAUAAAGAGGGCAACAUUUCUAGUAAUAAAGAGAGAUGAAGAAUAGUUCCAGCAUGCAUAUGGUGGACAAUCUGGGAAGAGAGAAACUAAAGAUAUUUUGAAGAUACGUCCAGUAACAUCCAGAAGAUAAAGAUAAAAUGUUUGGCUCUUUUCUACUUUUGGUGUAAAGGAAAAUUUAUGGAGGAUCAUGAAUCCAUUUUUGAUGUUCUAGAUUCUUUGUGAGAUGACCAAGUUUUUAUGGACACUUUCUUUGUAAAUAUGGGUGAUUUCACUUUUUAGUGAAGUCUUUUUAUUAAUAUAUAAAUAUAUUACCUUCUCAAAAAAAAAAAAAUUCACUUUCAUAUAACAUUGCUAGUCUCGCAAUCUUAUAAUUAGCCCUUCACUUUGUAAGGAUAUCUUCUCAUCACAUAGCACCUAUAACAAUUCUCCAUUUCAAACAUCUUAUUUUUGUUCUAUGUGUUAACACUUUCAUUUGUCAUAUCCUUCUCCUGUAAGGCUGAGUGCAUUGUUUAUAUUUAAAGAUCAUGAACCCCUCCAAUUCCUCUCUUCUUAUGGGGCUUAAACUUGUGCAUAUAUUUUUGUUUGAUUCUACUUAUGCUAGAAUCCUUGCACUAUAGAGUGCUUCCCCAUAAGUUCCAAUUUUUAGUUGGCUUUCUCGCUAGUUUCACCAAUUAAUACAAUAUCAUCUGCAAGUAAUAUGCAUUGAGAAUCUUAUCAUGUAUGCUAUUUGUUAGCUCAUCCAUAACUAGGGUAAUAGUACAGGCAAGGCAAGACUGAUCCCUGAUGUGAACUCACGGUUAUCAAGUCCUCGUUCAGUUGGUAGACAGGAAUAGGGUGAAGUGAGAAAAGUGCUAGUUAAUCAAGUUGCAUAGUUUCAGAACCGAUAAUUUUGUCACUUGGAACUGAUUCUGAUUAAUGGGAUAGAUGAAAUACACAUCAAGUGUCUCAUCUAAUGGUUUAUAUAUCUGCUUGGGUACAUGAUUACUGCUGUUUCCUUUGACAGAUUUAAAAAAAAAAAUCUCAUCAUACACCGAGUUCAAUUCUCGGAAUGCCCCUUACUAAUGUGUUUUCUUAUUAAAAAAAUAAAAAAAAUCUCAUCAUACAUAGUGCUUUUAGUUUCUGUUAGACCGCAGAAUUGUCUCACUGAUAGGACUAAGUUGUUACAGUUUAUGAUGACUAACAAUUCCACAUCAUUAUAAUUUCAAUUUCAGACACUGGUUUGAAAUAAAGCUGUUUUUCUCCCCCUCGAACUUCUGUUGGGCUUAAAUGAGUUUGUUCAUAUUUUGUUUGCAGAGGAAUCAGGGAGCUCUAUUUAGUUUUUCUUUGAUUAAUUCUAAUGAUGACAUCUUUAGCUCAACAAAUUUGCUCUCUGUUUCUAAAAAAAACAUUAUUUUCUCUGCCGAAAGAUGCAAGUAGAUAAAACUUUUGGAUCACACCUGAUUAAUAUCAAUACAAAAACACUACAGAACCAAAGAUCUCCGAAAACUUCUGGUGAUUCUGUUAGUUCUACUGCAUAAUGAUGCCAAAACUAUUUCUAUAAAAUCUUCGAUGUUGAUGUUUUGGGACAUCGCCUAAACUCUCGUGUUGCUUGUCCCAUUCUUCUGCUAUUGAUUUUAUUUCUUUUUUCAUUUUUGUUUUUUAGGGGUUGCACACUGUAUCCUAUUAAUGACCAUAUCAUGCUUAAAUGAAUUUUCCCAGGUGAAGGAACAUUUAGAAAUUUUUGCUGAUGUAAAGGGUGUUCCAGAAGACGCUAAAGAAAAGGCUGUGACUGAAAUGGUUGAUGAAGUGAGUUUCCUAAGCACUAUUGCUAGAAUUGGAUGGUGCUAUAUCUUCUUGAAUAAAGUUUAAAUCGUCACUGUUGGAUAAAAUAUUUGGUGUGACCUUUUUUCUAGCAAGAUGAACUAGUGGACUUUAACCUGAUUGACGGAGGACUAGAUACUUUGGAAACCAAAAAUGCUGAAUUGUCAGAGAAUUCUUUUGUGAUAAUUAAUUAAAUUCCAAUAAUGUUGGCCCAAAACACAACUUUAUACAAGAAGUAUACCAAAAAUGUAGAAAACCUACAAAAUAAAAUGUUUGUCUACGAAAGAAACCAAAUCUUCUAUACAACAAGGAACUUCAUGGGUGCACCAAAAGAAAAUAAGGGAUAGAAUAGUUAAAAUCUAAUUUCUUUUUGAAACUUUAUGGCAACACAAAUGAACUUUGCUGCAUAGAGCCGUUACAUAGGAUGAGUAAUUAUUGAUUGCAUGAGCGCCUCUUUCUUGAUAAUUUUGAUAAAUAUAGCUGCUCUCCAUUCUCCUCAUCCCUUGUUAUAACUAAUUGCUUCCGUGGCUUAAUUCAGAAGAACUCAUUCCUCUGUGCUUAAUUAGCCGACUGUUGACAGAACUUUGUUCUUUGUGUUUCAUAAGGUUGGGCUGGCAGACAAACUUAAUACUGUUGUCAAAGCUCUUUCUGGAGGUAUGAAAAGGAAGUUGUCCCUUGGGAUAGCUCUUAUAGGAAACAGUAAGGUUAGUACAAGUUAAGCAAAUUUUUUCAUUCAUUGUGCUUUGGAACUUACUGAAAGAUUUUGUCUGCUUCUUAGGUUAUUAUUCUUGAUGAACCGACAAGUGGAAUGGAUCCAUACUCUAUGCGGUUAACUUGGCAGCUGAUUAAAAGAAAAAAGAAGAGAAGAAUCAUAUUACUCACAACACACUCCAUGGAUGAAGCUGAUGUGCUAGGAGAUCGGAUUGCUAUCAUGGCAAAUGGAUCUCUAAAGUGCUGUGGAAGGUGUUUCUCUUUGCGACUAAGAACUUCAGUUUAUUUUGAAUAAACUUUUAGCUCCAGUUGGGGGUUAUAAUAUAGUCUUAUGGAACACAUGGCACCAGGAAAGGUGUACUCUGCUACAGUUAAGAGGAGUAGCCGUCUUGAGACUACUAGGCCCUCGCUGUAGCCCAUGAGUUAACUCUGAGGAAUUUCAUGCUUUUACAAUUUAGUAUGUCUUUUUCGGAAUUUCCUUAACUUGCGUUUGCAUUUUCUUGACAGUUCAAUCUUCUUGAAACAUCAGUAUGGGGUUGGUUACACUCUUACUCUGGUUAAGGUGUGCUCAUCUUAGCUAGGUUAAUACAAUUCAUAAAGUUGGCCUUUUUUGCUCAAAAUAAUUAUUUCCAAGACUCUUUCUGAGAUUGCUACUUUCUCCAGACUGCACCAGGGGCCUCAGUAGCUGCUGAUAUUGUUUACCGUCAUGUACCAUCUGCAACACGCAUUAGCGAAGUAUGUUUCUUUCUUCAAUGUUUAAUUUUGCCCUUCCUUUUGCGUUCUAUUGCUCAUCCUAUAAUAGCUUGCGUAUUGGUCUGUUUUGACUAUGGAAUUUGAUUUGCUACGCCGACUUCCAUGUUGAGCGAAAUUACAUAAAAAGAGGAGGAAACGGAAACAUUUUUAUGGCGAGAAACUCUUGUUAAUCAUGCCAAACAAUUCAACUUUCUACUGCUGUAGGUUGCUGCAGAGGUUUCCUUCAAGCUUCCCCUAGCCUCCUCCUCUUCCUUUGAGAGCAUGUUUCGAGAAAUAGAGCGCUACAUGAGAAAAUCCAACCCUAAAUUUGAAACAACAGACUAUAAAGAGGUCGACAGUCUUGGUAUUGAGAGCUAUGGCAUAUCUGUCACAACUUUGGAGGAAGUGUUUCUGAGGGUUGCUGGUGGUGACUUCGAUCAAGCACAGGGCCUUGAAGAGAAAGCAGAUCAAACCUUUUGUGAUUCUGUUGAUUUAAAAGUGUGCCAAACUAACACUUCAAAGACAUUCUUCCCUUCCAAAUUAUGUGGAAGCUAUUUUAGAGUUAUAUGGCUUAUGCUGACCUUGAUUGGUUCAGCUUGUAGUCUAAUCUGGGCUGCGGUUUCAAGUGUGAUUAGCGUUGUUACGAUGCAGUGCUGUUGCUGUUGUAUGCUCUCAAGGUCUACUUUCUGGAAACACUCGAAAGCUCUACUUAUUAAGAGAGCGAAAUCAGCUCAAAGAGAUCGGAAAACAAUUGUGUUCCAGCUGUUAAUUCCUGCUUUCUUUUUGCUUCUUGGUCUGCUGUUUCUUAAGCUAAAGCCACAUCCUGAUCAGCAGCCGGUCUUCUUCACGACCUCGUACUUCAAUCCUUUAUUAAGUGGUGGAGGAGGAGGUGGUCCAAUUCCUUUUGAACUCACAUCGCCUAUAGCAAAGGAGGUCUGAUUACUAUUUGUGGUCUCAUCUUUACUCUUUCUAUUAAUACUUAAAGGUUCUUCAUCCUGCAAUGCUUUGAUGGUGCAGGUUUCCGACCAUGUUCAUGGAGGCUGGAUCCAAAAGUAUCGGGAGACAACAUACAGGUUUCCUGAUUCUACUAAGGCAAUGAACGAUGCCAUAGAAGCAGCAGGAUCAACUUUGGGCCCUGUCCUACUUUCGAUGAGUGAAUAUCUUAUGUCUAGCUUUAAUGAAUCUUAUCAGUCGAGGUGAGUUACUUUGAUAAUCAUCUUCAGCUUCAAAGUAUUGUUGUGAUUGUAUUUUAUUUUUGUAUAUUGGUAUAUCAUUUGACUAGUGCUUCAAAAGGAAAUGUAUCUAUAGCUCUUUAUUUACUAACACCCCCCCCCCCCCCCCCCACAAAAAAAANNNNNNNNNNNNNNNNNNNNNNNNNNNNNNNNNNNNNNNNNNNNNNNNNNNNNNNNNNNNNNNNNNNNNNNNNNNNNNNNNNNNNNNNNNNNNNNNNNNNNNNNNNNNNNNNNNNNNNNNNNNNNNNNNNNNNNNNNNNNNNNNNNNNNNNNNNNNNNNNNNNNNNNNNNNNNNNNNNNNNNNNNNNNNNNNNNNNNNNNNNNNNNNNNNNNNNNNNNNNNCCCCCUCCCAAAUAAAUAAAAGAAAGAAAGAAAGAAAGAAAUCAAUGCCUUGUCUCCUUUGCACAUGUAACAUGUACUUCAACCAUUCCAUGGCUAUUAUUAUUUGUACUAUAUAGUGGAGUACUAAUUAUUACUAAUACUUGGAAAAUCUUUUCUUUAAGGUAGUAAUUGUUGAAGAUAAACUGCACUCUCUCUAACAGCAUAAGAUUUUAGAUGAGGUAGUUACACACUCCAACUUAAGCUUUUAGAUGAGCGGUUGAGGACGUAAUAAACCCCUUUGGAAACCCUCUCACAACCAAUGAGGCAUGAAGUGUAUUCCAGGACACCCUCCUGCACGUGUACUUCUAGGAUUUACACGUGGUUAAAGACCUUUUUUGGCUUAUUUUUAUUAUUUUGGUCUUUUCUAGAAAAGUGGAAACUGGACCUUAAGUAAAGAGACAAAGCAGGCACAAUUGGCUAAAGAGAGGGAGGGAGGGACGGAGAGAGUGAGAGAGAAGGCUUAAUCGGUUAGGAGUGAGUAUGAGCGAAGUUAGUGGCUCGAUGGGCUGAAAAAAAGAGAAACCCAGACAUGGAGCAGCUUCAUGGGUUGAGUUGAGAGAGAGAAGCACAGAGUGAUGGAAUAUGAAAGAGAGAAAGCAGUUGUAAAACGGGGUCAUCAAAGUUUGGCUCAUUUACCAUGUUAAGAACAUGGAUCUCAGGUCUAACUUAACCUCAAAAAGCUCUUGAGGUGAGGAUUCUCCAAAACCAUAUAAGGAUAUGCCAAUCUAUUUCCUCAACCAAUUUAGACUUAACAAGUAUGCAUAACAUGUAUAAAAAUGCUUACAAUUGGCUUUCUGGAUGUAUCGACAUAGUUAAUCUGGUGAGAGCUUUAGUAUUUAGAUAGAAGAAAGCUGCGAUUCAGUUCUGGAUUCUUUACUUUAUGCAUAUAAUGAUCAGAAACCUCCAAUUGUCGCUAUUUUAAAUGUAACUAGAGCACAUAAUUUGUGCUGAAGAUUCAUUUAUUUUAUUGAAACUUGUUACUUUGUCAAAAAAGAAAAAUGCAAGUACAUGAAGUCUCGUCAUAUUCCAAUCGAAUGUAGUGAUUGUACUAUACAUUCUACUUCUUCCCCAUUUAACUUCAAUGGCUAUUUAUUUAGCUUAAUAGGUCUGCCAAAUGACUCAUUUCCUUCCUAAAUCAGUUUCAUGCAUAUUCUAUUGCAGGUAUGGAGCUAUAGUCAUGGAUAAUCAGACUGGUGAUGGUAGCCUUGGGUACACUGUUCUGCACAACAGUUCUUGCCAGCAUUCUGCUCCAACAUUUAUCAAUUUGAUGAAUUCAGCAAUACUCAGGCUAGCUACACAUAAUGAAAAUAUGACAAUUCUCACUCGUAACCACCCUUUGCCGCAGACAGCAAGUCAGCAUCAGCAACAUCAUGUAUGAUUUUCUAUAAUCUUAUUAUUGAUGAAAUUGUAGCAUUCUACAUCUGUCGAUGCAAAUUCCUUGAUUAAUUGUUCCGGCUAGAAUGUUUACUGAUUAUUUCUCAAAGAGCUAGUUGUGGUGAAGUCAUAUUUAGUUUCGAACAAGGCGAUACAUUAUUUUUCUUCCUGUAAAUAAAUUUAACAUGAUAAUCUGUCAGUAAAUCUGGGGAUUAGUCUUGUUGCAGAUGUUUUGCAGGUUUAAAUUACAGCUGCUGCAUGCAGUGGCGGAGGCAGGAUCUCCACGAAGGGUGUUCAAAUUUUUUUUUGUAGCUUGUGGGAAUUGAACCCAUGACCUUAUGUAGAUUUUGAACCCCCUUGACCACUAAACUACACUUUCGGAUUGUGUUAAGGGUGUUCAAAACUUAAUAUAUAGAGAUAAAAAAUAGAUUUUGCCUUAUAUAUACAGUGUAAUUUUUCGGCGAAUGAUGUUCGGAUGAACACCCUUGCGCCCCCCUAAAUCCGCUCCUGGCUGCAUGUAACCUGUAAAGUAUCAUCUAUAACAAGUCUUAUCUAACAAUUCAUUUUGCUUUAUUGAAGUUUUGCGACUAUAUCUUUUAUUAUACCUUGAUGCUGUACUUAAUUGUGUAUUUAAUACAGUUUAUCUCUUGCAUAGAUUACUUAUAUAUAUAUAUUUCUUUUUUUCUUUUUUUAAAAUUUAUUUAUAAGCGUAUCAUCAUUGACCACAUAGAUUACAAAUAUGUGAAGCAAGUCUUGUACCAAACUACACAUACUCUUUUUAAAACAUAAAUAUUUUGGUGAAAUAACAAGUUGUCAACUUCCAUUUCCAAUAUUUGAAUAAUGACUUGUUAUCUACUGCUCUAUGAUACAUCUGUCGGUGAUGUAAUUCUGAAUUUGCUUCUUUUGAUGGUUAUCUUGUCACCUUUGUUUGUGUUUUAGGAUAUGGACGCCUUCUCUGCUGCAAUUGUAAUCAAUAUAGCCUUUUCUUUUAUUCCUGCAUCAUUCGCUGUGGCGAUUGUCAAGGUAACUUUGCAUGUUGCUCUUUCUUCUAACAAAUUGUAUUGCAAUUUGAGAAAUAAUAUUUAUAAGUGUUCUUGAUACUUCAACACCAAACUUUGCAUGUUGCUCUUUCUUCUAACAAAUUGUAUUGCAAUUUGAGAAAUAAUAUUUGUAAGUGUUCUUGAUACUUCAACACCAUCCAGCCCCCAGGUAUAAUAUAGGUAAUCCGUCCCUAUUCUAGUAAAGUAGGUACAUUUCAUAGGGAAUAUCUUAAGGCGUCCUAUUGAAUAUUCAAGUACAACGAUUCUAGACAUGUAUGAAUCUGAACAUAUACUCAUGAAUAUUCUAAAAUUUCUCACACAUAACAAUGGCUCUCAUGUACGAUUGGCAGCCGAUUUGUUCUGGAUGUAUUGCAAUUUGAGAAAUAAUAUUUAUAAGUGUUCUUGAUACUUCAACACCAUCCAGCCCCCAGGUAUAAUAUAGGUAAUCCGUCCCUAUUCUAGUAAAGUAGGUACAUUUCAUAGGGAAUAUCUUAAGGCGUCCUAUUGAAUAUUCAAGUACAACGAUUCUAGACAUGUAUGAAUCUGAACAUAUACUCCUGAAUAUUCUAAAAUUUCUCACACAUAACAAUGGCUCUCAUGUACGAUUGGCAUGCCGAUUUGUUCUGGAUGUUAUUUAUUUUCACCCUUGGUAAAGUAAUUUAUGUAAUUUGCUUGAGUUUUCUAGUAUAACCAUUCUGCUAGGAAACUAAUAGUACAUAUUUAUGUUUGUUUCUGCAGGAGCGUGAAGUGAAAGCUAAGCAUCAACAGCUAAUCAGUGGGGUAUAUUUCUUUCUUCAACAUGUCUUAGUCUAUUGCACAUUUUAAGAAUUGUCAAUGAUGCUUUAAUGCUCCCAAAUUCUGCAGGUGUCCAUACUCUCAUAUUGGGCUUCCACAUAUAUAUGGGACUUCAUCAGCUUCUUAUUUCCUUCAUCUUUUGCAUUAAUUCUCUUUUGGAUAUUUGGUACGCUUCAGCUUUUCUGCCUAUCUAUUGAUAAAGGAGUUUGCUUCAGUUGACUGAUAGUCAAUUCUCUUUUGGAUAUUUGGUAUGGUUCAGUUUUUCUGUCUAUCUAUUGAUAAAGGAGUUUGCUUCACAUGACUGAUAGUCAAGAAUUCUUAAUUUAGGUCUUAAAAGCUUAAUAAGAAUUUUGAAAAAACUUCACUCUGCUUAGGUUGUAACUUCACUCUUCUUAGAUUGUAAUAUUUCUGUUGUUGCUUGCUUUUUUUUGUAUGAGAUAUCUUGCUGAAAAGUUUUAUGUUUCUGCUACCAUGCACUAUGAGAACAACUCAAAGAGCCGUUUCAAUUAUAAGAUAUCUAUUUUAGAUAAUAAACUUGAGCUGAAAAUUGGAAAAACUUGAUGGGUCUAAUUAAAAGGUUUGUCCAUGGUUUUAUUUUUCAACUUUUGCAAUUUUGGCAACAUACUUUUUCAUUUUUUUUUGGUAAAGGUUUACUUUUUCAGUUGUUUAAUACCCUGUCUCAGAUUUAGUUGCUUCGAUUCACUCUCCUCUACCGUUUUUUCUUCAAAUGUUUUUGUUGUUCCAAAUAGUUUUCUUACAACUAGGUCUUAUGAGGUAAAUAACUUUAUUAAUGAUGGGGAAAACCUAGUAUCCAAGCCAUAUGCUAAAAGAUAAAGAACCUACACCAUAGUUUCUUCAGAAGCAUCUUCGUCAUGUCACUGUACUAUUGCCAAGUUACUCAAUCUCUCAUAUCAGAUUGAGAUAAAAACUGGAUAAUGCCUAUACAUUAUCUUUAGUAACUCCAUCUUAUCUAAACCUAUGUUGCUCGGACUCUCCGAAAAUGUGGCAUGAUACGUGUCAAAUCCUCCGAAAGUACUGCAUUUUUGAAGGAUCCAACAUGGGUGCGGCUACAUUUUGGAGAGUCCGCACAACAUAGACGCAUCACUUGGGUUGGAUCGGUGUUGACAGAAAAGAUUGUUAGUCCCCAUUGGUCAAGGGUAUGGGCUAUUGUCUUCUUAUAUGGUCUUGAGUUAUCCUCGCCUCAAAAUCUAGGCCCAAGAUCCAUUUUCCUUGUAUGGUAUUAGAGCCAAACCCAUCCUUAUUCUUGGUUACCCAGUGUUGGAUCUCCAUUCCAGAUAUUCGGUCCUAGGCUUGCUGGGAGGAAGGAGGAGGGUGUUAAGAGUCCCCCAUUAGUUGCGGGUAUGGUUUGUUGUCUCCUUAUAUAGUUUUGGCGUUCCUCACCUCAUGAGCUAGCUUUUAGUUUGAGCUUGACGCAAGGUUCAUUUCCUAGCAUAUGGCGUACUGUCGUAUUGAUCACAUGCUCCUUUUCUUAUCCUUGAUUUAACCUCCUUAUUGAGGUAGGUCAUCACUUAUAUGAAAUAUUCUUGAGUAUAUCUCGUUAGUUCUAUCCACUUUGUGACAAUGUUGUCUUUUCUCCUGUUAAAUACCACAUAAGUUGUAUGAUUUUUGUUUCUUCACAUUGCCUUAUUUUAAAAAAAAAUUGAUUUUCACUAUCCAAAUUUUAAAGAGAACUACUUCUGUAGGUCUUGAGCAAUUUAUUGGAAAGGAUUCUCUCAUCCCAACAAUUCUGUUGUUUCUUGAAUAUGGAUUAGCAAUGGCGUCAUCAACAUACUGCCUCACUUUCUUCUUUUCCGAGCACAGCAUGGCUCAGGUAUCUGUUUUGUAGAAUAUCUGAAGAUUUUUAACUUGUCGAAUAUUGUUGAUCCUGAUAUCGUUUUUAUGUGCAGAAUGUGGUCCUCCUCGUCCAAUUUUUCACUGGCCUCAUUCUUAUGGUCCUAUCCUUCAUUAUGGGACUUAUAAAUUCUACAGCACACUUAAAUUCUCUGCUCAAGGUUGGAAGGCCUAAAGUAUUUCCCUCCGAAUUACUAUAUUACGUUAUAUGUCUUGGUAGUUGUGGUUUUAGCUUUAGACGUGAAAGGGCAUUCUUUAGAUCAAUUUGUUGAAUUUAUUUAAUAAUUGUCAAUUUCCAUGCAUUAAGCUACUGCUGCUGCAGAUAGUAGGAUCUCUAUCUCUGAAAUGUACCCUUUGAUAUGGAAGUUCGAAAUAUUGAAAUGCGUUUUUCUGUUUACUAUCUUCACUUUAUCGGUCACCUGGAAGCUUUCUAAAAUCACGGAAUGACUACUAUGGUGACAACUGAACAUUGAGUGAGUAUUUUAGAAGUCCUAAAUCAUUGAUCUGGAAGGAGAAGAAGAGCUGGAAAAACAAAAAAAUGGAACUUUUUAAUAGUGUACUUGUAAAUGUGCCAAAGAAUACUGGCGAAACUGGAUGGUCUUGCCAAUCUGUGAUUCUACUAUAUCAUGCUGCCCUUUCUUGAUAUAAAGGCUUUUUAUUUACAUCAAUGUACACUACACUAUCACCAAUGGCAAUAACAAAUGAAAUACUUUAGUUGGAUAGCCAAGAUAUUGUUUCAGUUCAAGAGUCACACACUAUCUAAUUACCUUUUAGUAAUGCCUCUUAAUGUAUUCACUGUAGCACAUACAUGAUCAACUCUCUCUCAAAUAAUCCUACUAACAAGGGAUAAUCUUUUGCAGAACUUUUUUAGACUGUCACCGGGAUUUUGCUUCGCUGAUGGAUUGGCUUCAUUGGCUCUUUUAAGACAAGGGAUGAAGAAUGGAUCUAGAGAUAACGUUCUUGACUGGAAUGUGACUGGUGCUGCUAUAUUAUACUUGGCUGCUGAGGUAGCCAUCUGGUUUGUUGACUCUAAUUAAACUUUCUUGCAGCUUGAUCAUCUCACAGUUGUUUCUUUCUUAAGAAAAGUCAUUUGUGGUAUGUCGUCUGGUAGUGUUUUUUUAGCUUGUCCUUUCUCUUUCUCUCCUUGUGUGAUGGAAAUAAAUUUUCUUGCAGCUUGAUCAUCUCACAGUUGUUUCUUUCUUAAGAAAAGUCAUUUGUGGUAUGUCGUCUGGUAGUGUUUUUUUAGCUUGUCCUUUCUCUUUCUCUCCUUGUGUGAUGGAAAGACACAGAAUUGUUGAAAACAUGUCACAUUCAUGACCACUUACCUCCACCAGAUCGUAUCAUUUAUGCUUUCAUGUACUAGAUUAGGAGCAAAUUCAACCUCUCCUGCCACAAACAGUUACCCUGUUUAUCACGAGCUCAAACCUCCCACCUCACCCCCACCCCCACAGACAAAUGCACUGGUAUUUAACUCGAGAAGUGUAGAAGAUUUAACUCAGUAAAAGUGUGCUAUGUAAAGAUGGUCACACAUUUCAACAUGGGAUCAGAGCAGACAGAGGUCUUGAGUUCAAUUCUCGCCGCCACCCAGUAUCAAAAAAAUUCACGUACUUGGCUCAUUGAAAAAAAUCAAGCCCGCACGUGAGGUGGCGUGUUGAAGAUAUAUAAUUAAGUCAAUGAAAGUGUGCUCUCUCUGGCACUUCAGCUUUCAUGUGAGAUGAUCAUGCACUUUAGCAAGAAUGGUAGAGGGGCGGGCCGAUUAUCUACAGAUUUCUGAAUCCUGCUCCAACUGUCCGUAAGGAUUUCUCAGUUAUAAAAAAAAAAAAGCUUUUCCCGGCAUAACCAUCAUUUCCACCACGUGAUCUCUCUUCCUAUGGAUUACUAUAUCACUUUUUGAGUUUGCGCAUGCUAACAACGGAAUAAUUCCAUUGGCUGACCUCAAAUUUGAAUAAGCAGUUUUGCUCGUUGAGAUCUUCAUUUGGUAUUUAUUUCUUCUUGGUCAUUUAUAGGCCUUUGAUACAUUUUUGUUAUUUGCUCUUAUUCACAUGUAUUGUGUAGUUCCAGGAAUGACUGUUUUUCUCUAAGCAUUAUUCAUCCCUGUUGUGUCUUUGUUAGUUAUCUUCCUCUAUGUCCUUCCUUGCUAUCUGUAUCCCACCUCAUUUAUAACCUCUGCUAAGAUCUCUUAGGUUUUACGGGAACUUUUUAAUUCUGGAUAUCCCAUGAUGCAGGCCAUUGUGUUUUUCCUUUUAACUCUGGCGCUUGAAUUCUUCCCUCAACAAAAAAGGAGUCUUUACAGAGUUCAUGAGUGGUGGAAAAGCUUGGGAAAAUCUAAGCAUGCUACUUUCUUCGGGUCUUCAAAACCUCUUCUGCAACCACCCUCAGGCGAUGUUGCUUCUGAAUUUGAUGAAGACAUAGAUGUUAAAGCAGAGAGAGACAGGGUUUUAUCUGGCUCAACUGAUAAUGCUGUUAUCCACCUCUGUAAUCUUCGAAAGGUAAGAAUAUUCAUUUGCCUGUAGUUCAAAAUAUUAAAGCGUUAAGUCUGUUGAAUUAAGUAUGUUUCUUUUUCAGAUCUAUCCUGGAGGGAAGUCCCAAGUUCCAAAAGUUGCUGUCCAUUCACUGACUUUCUCUGUCCAAGAAGGAGAGUGUUUUGGGUUCCUAGGAACUAAUGGAGCAGGGAAGACAACAACACUGUCAAUGCUAUCUGGUACAUUUCUAUUCUGCAGCAUUACAUAAUUCUAGAUUUGUGUUUAGGCUUGCGUCUAGCUGUGAGAAUAUGCAUGUUUGUGAUAAUGGAGGAAGUUUACAGAACCACUUUGUAUUUAUAUCAUCAAUUGCUGGAAAAGUAGCCUGGCUAUUGACAAUCUGUCUCUUUUGGUAAUUGGUUUGUUUAAAUUUCUUAAAGAACUACUUUAAUUAUGCUCUUCUUUAAACAUUUCAAAACAUGAAGGAUUUCAUUCUAACUGUUAGAAUAUGUAAAUAGUAGAACCCUAAUCCAAAGUGUAUUAGGAGUAGGAUAGGUUAUGNNNNNNNNNNNNNNNNNNNNNNNNNNNNNNNNNNNNNNNNNNNNNNNNNNNNNNNNNNNNNNNNNNNNNNNNNNNNNNNNNNNNNNNNNNNNNNNNNNNNNNNNNNNNNNNNNNNNNNNNNNNNNNNNNNNNNNNNNNNNNNNNNNNNNNNNNNNNNNNNNNNNNNNNNNNNNNNNNNNNNNNNNNNNNNNNNNNNNNNNNNNNNNNNNNNNNNNNNNNNNNNNNAAAUCAGUCUCGGUCAGUGCUGUGCAAAAUCCAGCAAUACCAAAAGACUCGCCUCUGUCCGGCGACAAAACCCCAGAAAUUUCUCCGGCCAAAUCUAACCCACGAGCCCACGCCGGCGCGUGGCACCCUUUCCGGCCAGAAUUUCCGGUGACUCCUUCAGGACAGUUUGGUCGGCUACUAAUUCCGACCCUACCCAUCCUAUUUUCGUUCGAUUCCGACAACUUUGAGUUUUUUCCUGCGACUACACUGACUUUUCCGGCAGCUACAGUACUUUCCGGCCAGAAUUUCCUCAGGACAGUCUGCACGCCCUUGAAUUCCGAGCCUAUCCAUAUUUUUAUUUUUCAAUUCUGACAACUUUGAUUUUUUUACGGUGACUACAGUGCUUUUUCCGGCACUACAGUGUUCCAGUUUUUUUUCCAGCAGCUUCAGUUUUCAGUUUCCAGUUUUCUGUUUCAGUUUCAACGAGUUUACAGUGUUCCAAUUUUUUUUUCCGGCAGCUCCAGUUUUCUGCUUCAGUUUCAGCGUCUUUUCAGUUGAUAAUCCAACGAUGUCUUUGUGACUAGAUACUUUCGGGUCUAGAAACCCGGGUUCUGGCAGUUCCGGUGUUAUGAUUACCUCAGAACCUUUAAUGGGAGGUUCAAACUACCUAGCUUGGGCUUCGUCUCUCGAGUUGUGGUGUAAAGGCCAAGGUGUUCAGGAUCAUCUAACCAAGGAGUCUAGUGACGGAGAUGAAAAAGCCAAAGCACAUUGGGAGAAGAUUGAUGNNNN